UAAAGGACAAAGAAACAAGCCAUUCGCAACAUAACACCGUUGAGUGCCUGGGAACCUCAGUAAAGCUUGACUCAUCAGCGUCAAAACUUUUAGCUCUUAUUCAUACUCUGAAUUUUGUGAAAGAAACAGCUUUGCAGCGUCGGUAGGCACCAAGGACUUACGCAAUUUGACAAGGGUAAACAGAAAAGAUCACAUCAAAGGCACAAUAGUCUAGUGGUCUUUGAAUUUUGGAUUUAACUAUGGUUCACGGACAAGCCUUGGAACAAGGGAAUCUUCCAACCAGGAGAAGAAGCUUAGGGAUUCAAAGAAGACAGUCUAUAGUUUUAACAGACGAUUUUUGCAACCAGCUCGCACAAGAGGAACUGAUGGCAGCUAUCAGUAUUCAACGCUAUGAGGAAGCCUACAAGAACGUGUAUGGAGCAACAAGGUCUGUACAGAGAAGGAACUCGGCCACUCUUCCUAUGAAUAAUUCAACUAUCUUAAGGAAAUUUGGCUCAGAUCCUUGUUUGAUGGGGUUUCUUGGUUAGGAAGAACCAAAGGAUGUUAGUUGCCUUCCUAAUGAGCAACGUGGGCACGCACUGUGAGAGAAAUGUCAUCAGUUCACGAAACAUAACAUGACUAAAAGAAGUAUAAAAAUAAAGAUGGUUUCGAGCUGCUGAUCAAGGUAUUAUUGCAAGACAAUAAAUCAAGCUGGAAUAGUGUCAACAAAGGCCAGUCACUUUAAUCUAAAGUCUCUUCAAGUGAAAAUGAAAAGAGAAUAUUUCCGACAGGAGACUUUGCAAAAUCAAACACAACUUUUGUUCUAUUUUUAUAGCAUCAUAUAAUAUAUAUUUAUUUUGAUGAACUUGACGGGAUUUGCAUUUUGUAGAUGAUCCGACAAUAUUAUGUAGCCAUGAAAUCAAUAAAAUGCAGCCAUAGAAGAAAAAAAAUUAAUGUAAAAUUGAGAAACAAUCUUAAUUUGGUUGGUUUGUUAGUUGAUCAGUAUUUGAUUACCCGUGCUUUCGUGUCUAGAGGACUGGAUUUGUCAGUCAGAUUAUCUUGAUAUAUUUUGUAUUUAUACUUGUCCAGAAAUGAUUCAAAUCUGUGCGCUAUGUUGACCUACCUCCGCGCGGUUAAUAUUAUUUCACAACAAAUUCUUUUCCAACAUUUCUCUCAGGAAAAAUAAAUUGCUGUGUAAAAGUUUACUUUAUGGUCAAGUUUUUAAUUCUCGAGAAUCAUUUUAAUACUUUACAAUUAUUUUGUGUUAAUACUCGUGUAUUUAUGUUCCCUUAUGACUUGCCCGUCAUCUGACUAUGACUGUUUUAAUUUUAGUACAACUUUGCAUGUCUAGUACGGUGUUGGUUUAUUUGUGGGUUUGGGUGAAAGGCCAUGCCAGGAAGGAAGGACUUAGAAACAGUUCAUGGUUCUGUGUGGAAGCUUGAACCAAACUGGCUUGUUCUGCCGAGACACCUAAAAAUAUCACGCAAGAAUCAGUAAAGAGAUUUGGUCAUCCCAUUUUGAAUACUUGUGGUCAGGUAUCUCGAAGAGAUUUGGCUGAAUAACUAUUACAGAGAUAUUGAGGUCAAACGAUGGGCGGGCAUUGGACUUUCAUAUUUUCGCAAGUUCCCCCUCAGCUGCCCCUUGCAAAACCUGACAAGCUAAAAUAGCCAUGUCCUGCCUUUUGGUCAUUUCACGGAUCGACAAACCAUAGCUAGUGUAAAUUUAAUUAAGAUUGUUUCUUAGGAGUUAAAGAUAAAACCAUUCUAUUGUA
This 1750-nucleotide long non-coding RNA is filed under the name Actinia tenebrosa (Australian red waratah sea anemone). RNAcentral's name for it is "uncharacterized LOC116307305". Lineage: Eukaryota; Metazoa; Cnidaria; Anthozoa; Actiniaria; Actiniidae. The record is from RNAcentral.